This is a long non-coding RNA of Malania oleifera, 1188 nucleotides long. RefSeq lists it as uncharacterized. The transcript is spliced from 3 exons. The record is from RefSeq and is a predicted model, not a curated record. NCBI's taxonomy places the organism in Eukaryota, Viridiplantae, Streptophyta, Magnoliopsida, Santalales, Ximeniaceae.
GGGCCUCCCUUUUUUUUUUUAAUUAACUUAUGUGGGCUGGACCCAAAAACAGGCACUUAAAUGGCAGUGCGGACACUCAUAAACAAACUGGCAGCAGCUACAAGCAUAUGCAGGCAUGACUAGGAGAUUGUGUACACUCACAGCAUCAUAACAAAACCAUCACUCCAGAACCAAUCAGAGGAAGCAUCAGAACAGCAACACCAGCUGCAAGAAACAGUAUUGACCAUCUUUACAUCAGCAAACCACCAUGAGCCACUCAACAUCCACAAGAGUUGCUCAAGGCUGAGAAGAGGAGAUGAAAACCCUAAAGAAUUUUCUAUUUAAGAGUUAGAGGAGAGAAAAGAUGGGAAGUAGCAGCAACUAAGCCAGAUUAAUCAGGUUUCAAGAAGUUUAGCGCUCAAACCCCAUCUUGCAAAUCUGCAAUUAAUUGAAGUUUCAAAUUAAGAGAAAUAAAGUGCAUAGGAUUAGAGGGAGUGAAGGGAGGAAGAGAUUAGAGGGGGAAGAUCAGCCAGCAGUCCCCUGGUGUAGUAACCCGACCCAAAAAAAAAAAAAGAUAUUUUGGAGAAGAUAUUUUGAAAAGAGAUAUUUUGAGAUAUUUAUAUAUAAAUAUCUUGGAGGAGAUAUUUAUUUAUAUUACUUAAGGGCUAAGUUAGGAUUUAUUCUAUAAAUUCUCUUAUUCUCUCUCUCUCUCUCUCUCUCUCUCUCUCUCUCUCUCUCUCUCUCUCUCAUUUUCUCUCUCUCUCUCUCUCUAAGAUCCUUCGCCGUUCGUCAUCCGUUUCCAAAAACGGAGGGUACUACGUGGAUCAGAAGAGAAAACUCUACACUUUUAGUGGAUUGGAUCGUCGUUUCGGAGAGCUUCAGGUUUUCAUAAAAAUCGAGGUUUUCGAGAUCUCGGGUUGUCGUUUUGGACCGUUUUCGUACGAUGUUUCAUUUCGAAUAUAAGGUCCGUCCGUGCGUCGGUCCCAGUAGAUAAAAGGACUAGGGUGGUUAUUUUGGUUAGCGUACGUAAGCAUCUAAAUUUUGUACUAAACUUGAUGAAAGUCCUUUUUGGAGGGUUGUAAUAUGACGAUUUCUCUAAGUCCGAAUGUAUGUAAAUUAUGGAUGUAUUAGUGAACUCUGGUAUAAGGCUAGUAGUAAUCCCAAUGGAUGUUUAUGUUUUUCCGCGACAUUUACAUCAUGAUUAUGUAU